RNAcentral lists this ribosomal RNA (386 nucleotides) under uncultured Alphaproteobacteria bacterium. RNAcentral describes it as "bacterial SSU rRNA". It matches the Rfam family "Bacterial small subunit ribosomal RNA", at positions 9 to 419 of the family's 1533-position model. The record is from RNAcentral. Lineage: Bacteria; Pseudomonadati; Pseudomonadota; Alphaproteobacteria.
GAGUUUGAUCGUGGCUCAGAACGAACGCUGGCGGCAUGCCUAACACAUGCAAGUCGAACGGGUGUAGCAAUACACCAGUGGCAGACGGGUGCGUAACACGUGGGAACCUACCCAGAGGUUCGGAAUAGCUGCGGGAAACUGCAGGUAAUACCGAAUGUUGCCUGAGGGCUAAAGGAGCAAUCCGCCUUCGGAGGGGCCCGCGUCCGAUUAGCUAGUUGGUGAGGUAACGGCUCACUAAGGCGACGAUCGGUAGCUGGUCUGAGAGGAUGACCAGCCACACUGGAACUGAGACACGGUCCAGACUCCUACGGGAGGCAGCAGUGGGGAAUAUUGGACAAUGGGGGAAACCCUGAUCCAGCAAUGCCGCGUGGGUGAUGAAGGCCUUC